This 616-nucleotide long non-coding RNA is filed under the name Glycine max (soybean). Its description in RNAcentral is "long non-coding RNA (GMAX_LNC004559)". Lineage: Eukaryota; Viridiplantae; Streptophyta; Magnoliopsida; Fabales; Fabaceae. The record is from RNAcentral.
CCAUGUAAAAAAAAAGAAGAAAAUAACAAAAAGAAAAACAAUCAAUACGUCUCAUCUCAGAAUGAAAUAAGAAUUUUUUUUAAAAACCAAUAACAUCAUAGAAGUUUAACAUUAAUCUGGACAAUCACAACAACAGAAGACAAUCUCAUCUCAGAUUUAGAAUACAAACCAACAAAUCAGAACCAUCUCAGAUUACAAAUCAAAUUCACUAGAUCAAGGGGUGACGAUGAUGGUUGGAUGAGGAAGGGGCCGCGAUGGUGGCUCGAGGGGCAACAGAGGUUGCACGAGGGAGGGUUUGCGACGGUGGCUUAAGGACUGACAGUGGUUGCACAAGGAAGGGGCCGUGAUGGAGGUGACACGAGGGAGGGGCCACAACGGUGGUUGUGCAAGGGAGGGGCCGUGAUAGUGGUUGCGUGAGGGAGGGGCCACGAUAGUGGUGCAUGGAGCGAUGAUGGUGACACGAUGACCAACGUUUUGUUUAUGAUGAAGACAAAAAAGAGAAAGAGAAUGAGGAAACUAAGAAGUGGGGGAGAUCGAAUAGAGAAAAGAAGAGAAAGAGGAGUUGUGGUGUGUGGUGGUUCUAUUGUGGUGUGAGGAAGAGGGGCUUUGCUCUCUC